UACGGUAGGUGCGAGCGUUAAUCGGAAUUACUGGGCGUAAAGCGUGCGCAGGCGGUUCGUUGUGUCGGCGGUGAAAUCCCCGGGCUCAACCUGGGAAUGGCCGUUGAAACUGGCGAACUGGAGUGUGGCAGAGGGGGGUGGAAUUCCGCGUGUAGCAGUGAAAUGCGUAGAGAUGCGGAGGAACACCGAUGGCGAAGGCAGCCCCCUGGGCUGACACUGACGCCUCAGGCACGAAAGCGUGGGGAGCAAACAGG
RNAcentral lists this ribosomal RNA (254 nucleotides) under uncultured bacterium. RNAcentral describes it as "partial 16S ribosomal RNA". It matches the Rfam family "Bacterial small subunit ribosomal RNA", at positions 524 to 776 of the family's 1533-position model. The record is from RNAcentral.